This 274-nucleotide ribosomal RNA is filed under the name uncultured bacterium. Its description in RNAcentral is "partial 16S ribosomal RNA". It matches the Rfam family "Bacterial small subunit ribosomal RNA", at positions 523 to 796 of the family's 1533-position model. The record is from RNAcentral.
AUACGGAGGGUGCAAGCGUUAUCCGGAAUCAUUGGGUUUAAAGGGUCCGUAGGCGGACUAUUAAGUCAGAGGUGAAAUCCCACAGCUCAACUGUGGAACUGCCUUUGAUACUGGUAGUCUUGAGUUAUAUGGAAGUAGAUAGAAUGUGUAGUGUAGCGGUGAAAUGCAUAGAUAUUACACAGAAUACCGAUCGCGAAGGCAGUCUACUACGUAUAUACUGACGCUAAGGGACGAAAGCGUGGGGAGCGAACAGGAUUAGAAACCCCAGUAGUCC